Molecule: ribosomal RNA, 454 nt
Filed under: uncultured bacterium
Lineage: Bacteria
Description: bacterial SSU rRNA
Rfam family: Bacterial small subunit ribosomal RNA
Source: RNAcentral
UAGUCCAUGCCGUAAACGUUGGGCACUAGGUGUGGGGUCUAUUCAACGGAUUCCGUGCCGCAGCUAACGCAUUAAGUGCCCCGCCUGGGGAGUACGGCCGCAAGGCUAAAACUCAAAGGAAUUGACGGGGGCCCGCACAAGCGGUGGAUCAUGUGGUUUAAUUCGAAGUUACGCGCAAAACCUUACCUGGGUUUGAAAUCCUACGACGAGAUAAGAGAUUAUCUUUUGCUCUUCGGAGAAUGUAGUGACAGGUGCUGCAUGGCUGUCGUCAGCUCGUGUUGUGAAAUGUUGGGUUAAGUCCCGCAACGAGCGCAACCCUUAUCUUUAGUUGCCAGCCUUAAGUUGGGCACUCUAGAGAGACUGCCCGGGUUAACCGGGAGGAAGGUGGGGAUGGACGUCAAGUCCUCAUGGCCCUUAUAUCCAGGGGCUACACACGUGAUACAAUGGUGCAUAC